RNAcentral lists this ribosomal RNA (2158 nucleotides) under Aeromonas salmonicida. RNAcentral's name for it is "23S ribosomal RNA". It matches the Rfam family "Bacterial large subunit ribosomal RNA", at positions 786 to 2925 of the family's 2925-position model. The record is from RNAcentral. Lineage: Bacteria; Pseudomonadati; Pseudomonadota; Gammaproteobacteria; Aeromonadales; Aeromonadaceae.
ACGUUGCAAAGUUAGGGGAUGACCUGUGGCUGGGGGUGAAAGGCCAAUCAAACUCGGAGAUAGCUGGUUCUCCCCGAAAGCUAUUUAGUAGCGCCUCGGACGAAUACUACUGGGGGUAGAGCACUGUUUGGACUAGGGGGUCAUCCCGACUUACCAACUCCAUGCAAACUCCGAAUACCAGUAAGUAAUAUCCGGGAGACACACGGCGGGUGCUAACGUCCGUCGUGAAGAGGGAAACAACCCAGACCGCCGGCUAAGGUCCCAAAGUUCUGGUUAAGUGGGAAACGAUGUGGGAAGGCUCAGACAGCUAGGAUGUUGGCUUAGAAGCAGCCAUCAUUUAAAGAAAGCGUAAUAGCUCACUAGUCGAGUCGGCCUGCGCGGAAGAUGUAACGGGGCUCAAACCAGGCACCGAAGCCGCGGAUUCACACUUAUGUGUGAGUGGUAGGGGAGCGUUCUGUAAGUCUGCGAAGGUGUAUCGAGAGGUAUGCUGGAGAUAUCAGAAGUGCGAAUGCUGACGUAAGUAACGAUAAAGGGGGUGAAAAGCCUCCUCGCCGGAAGACCAAGGGUUCCUGUCCAACGUUAAUCGGGGCAGGGUGAGUCGACCCCUAAGGUGAGGCCGAAAGGCGUAAUCGAUGGGAAGCAGGUUAAUAUUCCUGCACGACUUGUAAUUGCGAUGGGGGGACGGAGAAGGCUAGGUGGGCCAGGCGACGGUUGUCCUGGUGAAAGUGCGUAGGUGGUGUUUCUAGGCAAAUCCGGAGACACAACACUGAGACACGAGACGAAGCCACUACGGUGGUGAAGCCAUUGAUGCCCUGCUUCCAGGAAAAGCCUCUAAGCUUCAGAUUACAAGUCAUCGUACCCCAAACCGACACAGGUGGUCGGGUAGAGAAUACCAAGGCGCUUGAGAGAACUCGGGUGAAGGAACUAGGCAAAAUAGAACCGUAACUUCGGGAGAAGGUUCGCUCUUGACAGUGAAGUCCCUUGCGGAUGGAGCAGUUGGGAGUCGCAGUGACCAGAUGGCUGGGACUGUUUAUCAAAAACACAGCACUCUGCAAACACGAAAGUGGACGUAUAGGGUGUGACACCUGCCCGGUGCCGGAAGGUUAAUUGAUGGGGUUAGCGCAAGCGAAGCUCUUGAUCGAAGCCCCGGUAAACGGCGGCCGUAACUAUAACGGUCCUAAGGUAGCGAAAUUCCUUGUCGGGUAAGUUCCGACCUGCACGAAUGGUGUAACCAUGGCCAUGCUGUCUCCACCCGAGACUCAGUGAAAUCGAAUUCGCCGUGAAGAUGCGGUGUACCCGCGGCUAGACGGAAAGACCCCGUGAACCUUUACUACAGCUUGGCACUGAACAUUGAACCUACAUGUGUAGGAUAGGUGGGAGGCUUUGAAGGCGUGACGCCAGUUGCGCUGGAGCCGUCCUUGAAAUACCACCCUUGUAUGUUUGAUGUUCUAACGCAGGGCCCUGAAUCGGGCUCGCGGACAGUGCCUGGUGGGUAGUUUGACUGGGGCGGUCUCCUCCCAAAGAGUAACGGAGGAGCACGAAGGUUGGCUAAUCCUGGUCGGACAUCAGGAGGUUAGUGCAAUGGCAUAAGCCAGCUUAACUGCGAGACGGACAGGUCGAGCAGGUACGAAAGUAGGUCAUAGUGAUCCGGUGGUUCUGAAUGGAAGGGCCAUCGCUCAACGGAUAAAAGGUACUCCGGGGAUAACAGGCUGAUACCGCCCAAGAGUUCAUAUCGACGGCGGUGUUUGGCACCUCGAUGUCGGCUCAUCACAUCCUGGGGCUGAAGUCGGUCCCAAGGGUAUGGCUGUUCGCCAUUUAAAGUGGUACGCGAGCUGGGUUCAGAACGUCGUGAGACAGUUCGGUCCCUAUCUGCCGUGGGCGUUGGAUGAUUGAAGGGAGUUGCUCCUAGUACGAGAGGACCGGAGUGAACGAACCUCUGGUGUUCGGGUUGUCACGCCAGUGGCACUGCCCGGUAGCUAAGUUCGGAAUCGAUAACCGCUGAAAGCAUCUAAGCGGGAAGCGAGCCCUGAGAUGAGUCAUCCCUGACCCCUUGAGGGUCCUAAAGGGCCGUUGGAGACCACAACGUUGAUAGGUGGGGUGUGUAAGCGCGGCGACGUGUUGAGCUAACCCAUACUAAUUACCCGUGAGGCUUAACCAU